AUGCAAGUCGUACGCGAACGACCUUUCGGGGUUAAGUAGAGUGGCGAACGGGUUAGUAACGCGUGGGAACAUACACAGCACAGGGGGAUAACCAUUGGAAACGAUGGCUAAUACCGCAUACGCCCUAUUGGGGAAAGAUUUAUCGGUGUUGGAUUGGCCCGCGUUAGAUUAGCUAGUUGGUGGGGUAAUGGCUCACCAAGGCGACGAUUUAUAGCUGGUUUGAGAGGAUGAUCAGCAACACUGGAACUGAGACACGGUCCAGACUCCUACGGGAGGCAGCAGUCGGGAAUAUUGUGCAAUGGGGGCAACCCUGACACAGCCAUGCCGCGUGAGUGAAGAAGGCCUUAGGGUUGUAAAGCUCUUUCAGAUGUGAGGAUGAUGACGAUAGCAUCAGAAGAAGCUCCGGCUAACUUCGUGCCAGCAGCCGCGGUAAUACGAAGGGAGCUAGCGUUGUUCGGAAUUACUGGGCGUAAAGGGCGUGUAGGCGGAUUAUCAAGUUAGGGGUGAAAUCCCGGGGCUC
RNAcentral lists this ribosomal RNA (520 nucleotides) under uncultured bacterium. RNAcentral's name for it is "bacterial SSU rRNA". It matches the Rfam family "Bacterial small subunit ribosomal RNA", at positions 55 to 610 of the family's 1533-position model. The record is from RNAcentral.